CCUGAACUCAACCUCAAUCACUAUUUAUGUCAAAAUUACGGUGGCCCUGAGGUGCAAAUCACAACAACAAAAGAGAAAACACAACGGCAAAACAGAAAACACAACAGCAAAAGAGAAACACAACGGCAAAAGAGAAAACACAACAGCAAAAGAGAAACACAACGGCAAAACAGAAAACACAACACAAAAAGAGAAAACACAACGGCAAAAGAGAAAACACAACACAAAAAGAGAAAACACAACGGCAAAACAGAAAACACAACAGCAAAAGAGAAAACACAACACAAAAAGAGAAAACACAACGGCAAAACAGAAAACACAACACAAAAAGAGAAAACACAACGGCAAAUCAGAAAACACAACACAAAAAGAGAAAACACAACGGCAACAGAGAAAACACAACACAAAAAGAGAAAACACAACGGCAAAACAGAAAACACAACACAAAAAGAGAAAACACAACGGCAAAUCAGAAAACACAACAGCAAAAGAGAAAACACAACGGCAAAACAGAAAACACAACAGCAAAAGAGAAAACACAACACAAAAAGAGAAACAACGGCAAAACAGAAAACACAACACAAAAAGAGAAAACACAACGGCAAAACAGAAAACACAACAGCAAAAGAGAAAACACAACGGCAAAACAGAAAACACAACAGCAAAAGAGAAAACACAACGGCAAAUCAGAAAACACAACACAAAAAGAGAAAACACAACGGCAAAUCAGAAAACACAACAACAUUAAUCAAACCGGAAAAGGUAGGUACCCUCGGGCGACAUGAAUCGUCGCUGAUUGGACAAAAGAACUGGUCCGUCCUUUCACUGGUACAGCGAGGAUGUGUUCAGGUACAGUCAGGAUGCGUUCAGGUACAGUCAGGUACAGCGAGGAUGCGUUCAGGUACAGUCAGGAUGUGUUCAGGUACAGUCAGGAUGCGUUCGGGUACAGUCAGGUACAGCGAGGAUGCGUUCAGGUACAGUCAGGAUGUGUUCAGGUACAGUCAGGAUGCGUUCAGGUAUAGUAAUUUGUCGUUGUGUUUUCUGAUUUGCCGUUGUGUUUUACUCUUUUGUUGUUGUGAUUUGCACCUCAGGGCCACCGAACAAAAUGGCCUCAGCUGUGCAUAA
RNAcentral lists this long non-coding RNA (1125 nucleotides) under Dicentrarchus labrax (European seabass). RNAcentral describes it as "lncRNA (ENSDLAG00005027976.1)". The record is from RNAcentral. Lineage: Eukaryota; Metazoa; Chordata; Actinopteri; Moronidae.